CCGGCCCUGUCCGCGGCAUCAUGAACAUAGACGUGGAGUUCCACAUCCAGCACAACUACCCCUGGAACAAGUUGCCGGCCAACGUGAGGCAUCGUCUUGGAAAUUCACAGAGACAAUAUGAAAAGCAGGUUGUCCUGUACAGUAUCUGCAAUCAGUUAGGAUACAGAAAUAACUUAGUUAAACAUGUCAAGAAAGAUGGACGCAGACACUAUAAGGAACCGCUAAAGUACAGCCGAGAUCAUCUCACGCUGUACCCUUAGCAUCUAUUGGAUAUUAUGGUGAAGGGCUUGAGGAUAACACCAUUUUCAUAUUAUACUGGGAUUAUGGAGGAUAUUAUGAACAGUGAGAAAAGUUAUGAUUCAUUGCCCAAUUUUACUGCUGCUAAGGCUUCUUGGCAUUGGAAGAAACCAGUAUAUUGAUCUUAUGAAUCAGUGUAGAUCAUCAAAAAAAUUCUCCAGAAGGAAAACAGCCUGUGAUCUUUUACCAAUAAAGCCAGUGGAAAUUGCCAUAGAGGUGUGGUGGGUGGUGCAGGCUGGAUAUAUCACAGAAGAUGACAUCAAGAUAUGCACUUUGCCUGAGAAAUGUGCUAUUGAUAAGAUCUAUCGAUUCAGGCCUUCAACUCUCUGGAUCACUAGAUUACAAUGUAGUACAUAGUUUAGUUUGUAUAACAAAGGAUUUAUUUAUCUGGAUGUAUCAAUAUCUGAUGACAGUCAUAUAGCAGUUCCACCUCCUGAAGGUUUUGUAAUGAAUCGAGUGCAAGGUGAUUAUUUUGAAACUCUACUCUAAUUUGUUUCAAUAGAUGAGCACACAAAUGUGGCAGAGCUUGCAAAUGUCCUUGAGAUUGACUUAUCCCUGGUUAAGAAUGCUGUUUCAAUGUAUUACCGAUUGGGCUUUGCCCAUAAGAAGGGACAAGUAAUAAAUUUGGAUCAACUUCAUUCAUCAUGGAAGAAUGUUCCAUCCAUAAACAGAUUAAAGAAUACCUUAGAUCCACAGAAGAUGCUCUUGUCAUGGGAUGGAGGGGAAAGUAGGAGUCCUGUACAAGAAGCUUCAUCGGCAACUGACACUGAUACAAAUAGUCAAGAAGAUCCAGCUGACACAGCCAGUGUAAGCAGCCUGAGUCUGUCUACGGGACACACGAAACGCAUCGCAUUCCUGUCUGACUCCACUCUUACUGUCUUCUUAAUGAUGGGAUAUCUUUCACCAGUUCAGGGCACUGGUGAAGGAGAAGCACAUAGAUAUUUUGAUCAUGCACUUACUCUGAGAAACACAAUACUGUUUCUGCAUCAUAACAAAGAUCUAGUUGUGCAAACUGCACAGCCAGACCAACCCAAUUGUGGUUUUCCUCUGGAUCUCUUAUACUGUGAAAGCCUUCUUGGUCUGGACCCUGCAACUUGCAGCAGAGUUCUAAACAAAAAUUACAUGCUGCUUGUUUCCAUGGCUCCCCUCACCAAUGAAAUCCAGCCUGUCAGCAGCUGCACCCCUCAGCAUAUUGGACCAGCUAUCCCAGAAGUCAGCUCUGUCUGGUUUAAACUGUACAUUUAUCAUAUCACUGGACAAGGACCACCAUCCCUUUUAUUGUCCAAAGGUACAAGACCUCGAAAACUGCCAGAAAUAUUUCAGAGUUAUGAUUGAUUGCUAAUAACAUCUUGGGGUCAUGAUCCUGGAGUAGUUCCUAUCUCAAAUGUGCUCACGAUGUUGAAUGAUGCUUUAACACAUUCUGCAGUUUUAAUUCAGGGGCAUGGUCUGCAUGGGAUAGGAGAAACUGUCCAUGUCCCAUUUCCAUUUGCUGAAACAGAACUACAAGGAGAGUUCACUUGUGCCAAUAUAGGUGUUCAUAAAUCAUUGCAGAUACUAAGGAACAGUGAACUUACAGCAUCUCUGUGGAUAUGUCACCAUGUUGAAUGCUUCCGGCCAACUUGCAAAUAGAAAACUCAGUGAUGCUGAUUUAGCUUCUGGCUCAGAUGUAAAUGGGAAUACAAAGUCAUUUGAAAUGGUCAUUGAGGAAGCAACUAUAGAUUCAGCAACAAAGCAAACCUCUGGUGCCACAACAGAAGCAGACUGGGUUCCUCUCGAUCUGUGCUUUGGAAUUCCACUGUUCAGUUCCGAAUUAAACCGGCAAGUUUGUAGGAAAAUUGCCCUAAAUAACUUAUCAAAAAAAAUCAUUCAUAGGGGGCAUCUUCUCAAACGCCAGCCCAUUUUCUGGCACAAACAAGGACGCAGUUCUCAGUGACACUAUCUGUCCAAGAUCAAGUGCACUCAAACCAUCAUUUUCUUGUCUGAGUAGCUUGGGCUACCACUCAACCAAUAAUACAUCAUAAUGUUCUUAAUUUUCUAAACUGACAAGGCUAUAUAAUAAAAGGUACAAAAUGUAUAUAACCACUCAUCAUAGGUAAGUGGUGGAUAUUCUUUCAGUAAAGAAUUUAAAUACUGUAAUACUUCAACAGUCAAGCUAGACUUACUUUCUAGGUCUUAUAUUAACUUUAAUUGAGAACUUUCAUAAUUACUUCCUAUAUAAAGAUGAGAAUUAUCUGACUUUGAAUUUCUAUCACAUUAGCAUAUCCUUUAAGUCAUAUAUGUGAGUUUGAAACCUACAUCAAUACCAUAUAAGUUCUAAAUGAA
RNA transcript from Nomascus leucogenys (northern white-cheeked gibbon), 2619 nucleotides. It is a transcript of the gene named protein FAM91A1-like, with no coding region annotated. Lineage: Eukaryota; Metazoa; Chordata; Mammalia; Primates; Hylobatidae. The record is from RefSeq and is a predicted model, not a curated record. The transcript is spliced from 2 exons.